Monopterus albus (swamp eel) is the source of this 618-nucleotide long non-coding RNA. RefSeq lists it as uncharacterized. NCBI's taxonomy places the organism in Eukaryota, Metazoa, Chordata, Actinopteri, Synbranchiformes, Synbranchidae. The transcript has 3 exons. The record is from RefSeq and is a predicted model, not a curated record.
CAUUCAAAAUGUUCUUAAAUAAUGGUGCAAAGGCAUUAGCAGGGAAAUAUACCUAAAUUACCAAAAAUAAGUCACUGUUAGUUUGUACAGGUUUCUGUGAUAAGAGUAAUUGUUAUAAGUAGGACAAACAUUAUAGGACUAACUCACCCCAUGUAUCUUUCAAUAGGCCACAGAACACACAGACUAGAAUAUGGGACUCGCACAGCUUAAAUAGUUUCGGGCGUGAUAUACGAGGAGGACCGACAGUGUUCUGGGCCCUUGUCACUCCUACAUAGGGACAUCAAAAUCAAGUUGAUGAGCUCUGUCACAGGUUCGGGGCAUCCAUGGCUCUGGAGUUCUUCCUUGGUGCUGCAAAGAAACCUGACUUUACGUCCAGCCUGUCUUGAAUCCAGGAUCGGGACAACUGGGAAGACUUAUUCCUGUCAACCCUCAGGACAUUGAGGUGAGUGUGUAAAGCAACUUGUGCCUCACUGUAAUCAUUAAUGAAAUGUUUGUUUUCCGUCACAGGGACCAUUUUCCCAGAUGUGGAUCAUGCUGAGUACAGUGAAGAACUGAAUCAGUACCUCAUAUUGAUAUUAAAAGAUUUGUAAGAGCCUUAUUGAAAACAAGAACAGGGCC